Molecule: long non-coding RNA, 300 nt
Organism: Cyprinus carpio carpio
Lineage: Eukaryota; Metazoa; Chordata; Actinopteri; Cypriniformes; Cyprinidae
Source: Ensembl
GAAGGAGUGUCUGUUUGAAGGGUACCUUUAUCCAUUUCCAAUGAGGAGGAGAUUGCAAUUUGGCGCUUCUCCAUUUCUAUACUGUGAUUGGCUGUUCCUAUCAAAGUGGGUGUGCUUACUGGAGAUAUACUGAUGGGUGUCUCAGAGAAUUGAGUAGAUUUAUUCAAUAACAAAGAUGAUGCGUGAUUGUCGUUUACUUUUAUUGAAAAUAUUGGAGGCUUGAUGUUAGGUCGUAAGAUAUGACUUUAAAUGUUAUAAGUGGCUUGAAUUUGUGAGAUUGUGUUUUUGUUUUGUUUGAAC